Ziziphus jujuba (common jujube) is the source of this 417-nucleotide RNA transcript. RefSeq lists it as uncharacterized. The record is from RefSeq and is a predicted model, not a curated record. The transcript has 4 exons. NCBI's taxonomy places the organism in Eukaryota, Viridiplantae, Streptophyta, Magnoliopsida, Rosales, Rhamnaceae.
GAAAAAGACAAGUGGAAGGCAUACGAGGAAGUUUGCGAGAAUUUCAGGCCUGUCAUGCAUUAUUUUUUCUUGGAGAGAUUCUUCCAGCCUGCUAACUAGUUCGAAAAGAGACUUGCAUACACUCGAAGUGUGGCUGCUAGUUCAAUGGUUGGUUAUAUUGUUGGUCUUGGAGAUCGACAUUCUAUGAAUAUCUUAAUCGAUCAAGCUACUGCAGAAGUUGUUCAUAUAGAUCUUGGUGUUGCCUUUAAGCAAAGGCUUGAUGCUCAAGACACCAGAACGGGUUCCGUUCAGGCUUACAAGAGACAUCAUUGAUGGCAUGGGAGUUACAGGUGUUGAAGGGGUUUUCAGAAGGUGUUGUGAAGAAACUCUUUCUGUUAUGAGGACAAAUAAAGAAGCUUUAAUGACCAUUGUUGAAGU